This 129-nucleotide transfer RNA is filed under the name Aspergillus ustus. It matches the Rfam family "tRNA". Rfam says of the family: Transfer RNA (tRNA) molecules are approximately 80 nucleotides in length. Their secondary structure includes four short double-helical elements and three loops (D, anti-codon, and T loops). Further hydrogen bonds mediate the characteristic L-shaped molecular structure. tRNAs have two regions of fundamental functional importance: the anti-codon, which is responsible for specific mRNA codon recognition, and the 3' end, to which the tRNAs corresponding amino acid is attached (by aminoacyl-tRNA synthetases). tRNAs cope with the degeneracy of the genetic code in two manners: having more than one tRNA (with a specific anti-codon) for a particular amino acid; and 'wobble' base-pairing, i.e. permitting non-standard base-pairing at the 3rd anti-codon position. The record is from Rfam by way of RNAcentral. Lineage: Eukaryota; Fungi; Ascomycota; Eurotiomycetes; Eurotiales; Aspergillaceae.
GGCAAGAUGGCCGAGUGGUCUAAGGCGCACGGUUCAGGCAUACCAAGCUGGACCUUAUUCUUGAUACGUGUUCGUAUCAAAGGUUUCCGUGUCUCGAAAGGGACGAGGGUUCGAAUCCCUCUCUUGUCA